AACGAACGCUGGCGGCAGGCCUAACACAUGCAAGUCGAACGAGACCUUCGGGUCUAGUGGCGCACGGGUGCGUAACGCGUGGGAACCUGCCUUUAGGUUCGGAAUAACUCAGAGAAAUUUGAGCUAAUACCGGAUGAUGUCUUCGGACCAAAGAUUUAUCGCCUUUAGAUGGGCCCGCGUUGGAUUAGCUAGUUGGUGGGGUAAAGGCCUACCAAGGCGACGAUCCAUAGCUGGUCUGAGAGGAUGAUCCGCCACACUGGGACUGAGACACGGCCCAGACUCCUACGGGAGGCAGCAGUGGGGAAUAUUGGGCAAUGGAGGAAACUCUGACCCAGCGACGCCGCGUGAGGGAUGAAGGCCUUC
This 363-nucleotide ribosomal RNA is filed under the name uncultured bacterium. Its description in RNAcentral is "bacterial SSU rRNA". It matches the Rfam family "Bacterial small subunit ribosomal RNA", at positions 29 to 419 of the family's 1533-position model. The record is from RNAcentral.